AUGGACCCGCGCUUCCCGCCGCCGGCGCCGUCCUCUGCUGCUGGUGGUGCGCCGCGCGGCCACCGGCGGGCCCACUCCGAGACCUUCAUCCGCUUCCCCGACGCGGACCUGCUGCUCGACCCGGACAGCGACUUCUCCUUCUCCGACCUCGACUUCCCCUCCCUCUCCGACGACUCCCCCGCCGUCUCCUCCGACCCCAACCCGCCUCCCCCGCCGCUGCCGCCGCAGCAGCAGGGGGCUGCCGCGUCCCCGUCGCCGGCGCCGCGGCCGCCCGGUGGCGGGGGCGCGCAUAUGAGGAGCCUCUCGCUCGACGCCGCCUUCUUCGACGGCCUCGCGCUGCAGGGAGGAGGCGGAGGCGGGGCGGGGCAUAAGAGGAGCGGCUCCAUGGAUGGAGCCAGCUCGCCGUCCGACGGCGAGUCUGCGCUGUCCGGUGGGCUGCCGGACUACGCCAAGAAGGCCAUUCCCGCCGAGAGGCUCGCUGAGCUCGCGCUCCUCGACCCCAAGCGCGCUAAGAGGAUUCUCGCGAACAGACAGUCGGCCGCGAGGUCCAAGGAGAGGAAGAUCAAAUACACAGGCGAGCUGGAGAGGAAGGUGCAGACGCUGCAGACAGAGGCGACCACGCUCUCGGCACAGCUCACGCUUCUUCAGAGGGAUACUUCUGGUUUAACUGUUGAGAACAGAGAGCUCAAACUCCGGUUGCAGUCCAUGGAAGAACAAGCCAAACUUCGAGAUGCUCUGAAUGAUGCCCUGAGAGAAGAAGUGCAGCGGCUUAAGAUAGCGGCAGGUCAAGUUCCAAACAUGAAUGGAAACCCCUUCGGCGGAGGGCUGCAUCAGCAUCAGCAACAGCAGCAGCAGAUUCCGAACUAUUUCUCGCAGCAGCAGAUGCACUACCAAGGUCAUCAGCAUCACCACCCCCAAAACCACUCCCAGAAUUCUUCAAAUGGAGGCCAGUCACUGAGUGGUCAGAGCGACUCCAUGGAUUUCAUGUGA
This 990-nucleotide ribosomal RNA is filed under the name Triticum aestivum (bread wheat). Its description in RNAcentral is "partial small subunit ribosomal RNA". The record is from RNAcentral. Lineage: Eukaryota; Viridiplantae; Streptophyta; Magnoliopsida; Poales; Poaceae.